CCCAGCCGCCCGAGAUUUUGCAUUUCUAAGCAGCUCCCAGGUAUUGCUGCUGGUUGGAGGACCACCAUUUGAGUAGCAAGACCCUAAAACGCCCAGGAUGGUGCCUCAACAUAAACAAGUAAAACUUUAUAUUGGUAGUAGUUCCAACCAAAUUUCUCCUGUGAGAACCUGACCCCUUCAAGUAAAUCCUAUCUCACGAUCAAAGGUAAGUCCUCUCCCCUUGGGUCAUGACACUGCCCUCUAAACUAAUUGAAGCCUGAGGACAUGAUUCUGUUAUAAUGCAAUUGUUUGAAUUUGUGUUUAAAUUGGAGCAGUCUGAGUGGUUUUACUAAUGUCAUUUGAGAGGACUGGUGAAUUAUUUGGGUGUGCAUGGCCCAGCCCUGAUACGCUAGGCCACUCUUGGUAAGAGCCACAGUUAAUACUAGCUGAUCCCAUAAACGGGAGCCCACACUAGCCUGCACAGAGUGUGGAGAGCCAUAACUCGCCUUCUGGAUAAGGGGCCCUCACUUUUCUCCCAGAUGGGUUAAGUAGGUGGAGGCAGAAACCAAGCUUACUUUUGUUGACCUGUGUCCAGUUAAGUCUCUGUUCCCUGUAAGAAGUCCUGCUCAGAGGCCAAAAGCCCUACCUUAGUUUCACCUUCAAAACUAGGAAAAUCAGUCUUUGACUAUACUAAGCAGACUUAAAUAAAUGCUUUUGAACCAGGAGGUUCAGACCAGAAGGAUUGGUGGGCAUGAAUGAAGCUACAGAAAUGUCUGACUGGUCUCAUGGCCUGGCACCGAUAGAAGGCCAGUCCAGCCUCUCAGGACCUCGGUUUGCUUAUCAGCAAAAUCAAGGUGUUGGACUGGAGGCUUCUUAUCAGCGCUAAGAGUCUGUGGUUCUGAUCACCAUAUCAGGGAAAGGCACGGGAGACAAGAAUUCCACACUUGGCUCCGUAACAGCACAAUGUGACUGGGAGCCUCUUGGUGGGCUCUUCUCUUGCUGGUCUCAGCCCCAGUGCCUGUCCUAACCAGGCGCUAAGUUACCCUUUCCUAGACAAUUGGGUGCCUCAGAUCCGCCAGCCUGGUGUAGAAAGACUUGAAAAGAUGUACCCUGUGCUGCCACCUAAUGGCUCCAAUUCUCUCAAAGCGAUUCUUCAGCACCAUUUGGAUGUUACAGAAUCUCUAGGCCCUCUAUAAAACACAAUCCACCAGCGAUGAGAACCUAGGGUGAGAGAACAAACAUAGGGUACCUCCAGGGGCCACCUCAUCACGGGAGUCAGGGACUAUGACUGUAAGAACCAUAACUUUUUUUUUUUUAACUUGGUGAUUUCCUCCUUGUUAUUUCCUGUCUGUUUCCCCGUAAUGAUUAACAGUAAAACUCUAAAAACAAAAAGGGCCAAGGUGUUUGUUUUCAAGGGCAGCAAGGAAGCAAGGAACUGGGGGAGACAGCACUCCAGGGGUUGGGGUAAACAACUCCAGGGGAUGGAGUGGGUGGAAGGAGCUGAAUAGCUGGAAGGAAAGCAGGUUGAGUCCUCAGGCUCAUUUGAAAAAGGAAAGAGGGGGUGGAAUAAAGUUGUGUUCUAGUGGGAAUGAAGGUAACGGUCUUAAUAGCAUUGUCAUUCUUUCCUGUUUUGUCUUCAGAUGAACCAGUCUAUUUUCAAUCCAAGAAGAUGAAGCAAAUGGAUAGCUGUAGACUAGUGUUCUAGUUCAGGGGCCUUUGUAGGAAAUGAUACUCCUAGAGUGAAGAUCCCAAAUACAGAAGUCUCCAGAAGGGCCAGGCAGAUAAGGUGAAAGCCUUGAAUACAUUCAUUCAAUAAAUCAAGAAGCAUUGAUUGAGCACCUAAUAUAUGCGAAGUAACGUUCAAGAAAAACACAUCACCUUGGGAUCCAAUUUUGCAAGUUCUGCUUAUCACAGGAACUAGAAGACUCUGAUGAAUGAGGAUGGGACUUCAGUUCUUGUCCAUGGUGUGAAUAAAAAGUCGACUCUGCCUUUUUUGGUCUGUCCCAUUGACAUCUAUCGUUAAAGAGAUCUGUCAGGACCUUUUAAUGCCAUUUAGUUCCUAUGUACAAAACACUAGACUAGGCACUGCUGCUGCUGGGAAGAUUGCAGCUGGAUCUUUUUAAGCUUGUCACACGAGCUCUUUAGGUAGUGAUUCUGGUGGGCUACAACGUCAUGGCAAGUCAGCAGAGAGCCCCUUGAGUCAAGACCCUGAAAUUCCUGAUAGACCUGCCUUCCACUUGCUAGAUGUUCUUUAUUAUGGUGAAUUCCAGAGGCAAUUCCUUAAUCUCUCUGAACUUCAGUUUUCUAAUCAGUUCAUACAAGGCUGGUGUCAAAGGGCUAUUGUAAAGAUUAAAAGAGAUAGUGCACGCCUAACUUUUGGCACGGUGUCUGGCACUUAGUAAGAAAGCCACAAUAAAAACAAAGGCUAAAACAUUCUGUAAAACUGUGUUGUUUUACAUCUUAAUGGCUAAAUAGGACUGUUCCUGGCAUACAGCCACACAUCAUAAAAUACUUCGGCCUGCAGCUGCUAUUCCACUAGCUAGAGGUGAAGGCAAACAGUUCUGACCAGUAUCUACCUAACUCUUUAAAGUCAGUGAGGUCCUCUUCCUCCCUCUCAGCCUUGGUGGGGACCCCACACCUGGUUCCCACACUCCUGGGUGCAGUGUCUGUCUGGAGGAAGGCUAAGCGAGGGGGGGCUGGAAUGCCUGCAACGGCUGGUGGGACCACCGAGGGGACAGAGUUGGACCUAUCCUGGCAUCUUUAGCUUCUCUGGAACCUGGAGCCCACACCUCCCUAGCACAGUCUGCUCACUGAACACCUAAACACCUGGGUUCUCUCCCACCACCACCCAUCAUUGGUCAGUCAUCAG
Molecule: non-coding RNA, 2848 nt
Organism: Callorhinus ursinus (northern fur seal)
Lineage: Eukaryota; Metazoa; Chordata; Mammalia; Carnivora; Otariidae
Source: RefSeq, a predicted model, not a curated record